This 253-nucleotide ribosomal RNA is filed under the name uncultured bacterium. RNAcentral's name for it is "partial 16S ribosomal RNA". It matches the Rfam family "Bacterial small subunit ribosomal RNA", at positions 524 to 776 of the family's 1533-position model. The record is from RNAcentral.
UACGGAGGGUGCGAGCGUUGUUCGGAAUCACUGGGCGUAAAGGGCGUGUAGGCGGCCCGCUAAGUCUGAUGUGAAAGCCCGGGGCUCACCCCCGGAAGUGCAUUGGAAACUGGCGGACUCGAGUCCCGGAGAGGAGAGUGGAAUUCCUGGUGUAGCGGUGAAAUGCGUAGAUAUCUGGAGGAACACCGGUGGCGAAGGCGGCAUCCUGGACCGACACUGACGCUGAGGAGCGAAAGCCAGGGGAGCAAACGGG